RNA transcript from Nerophis lumbriciformis (worm pipefish), 2399 nucleotides. It is a transcript of the gene named gamma-tubulin complex component 6-like, with no coding region annotated. Lineage: Eukaryota; Metazoa; Chordata; Actinopteri; Syngnathiformes; Syngnathidae. The record is from RefSeq and is a predicted model, not a curated record.
CACCACUUUCUGCUGAUGGAGGACGGCAAGUUUUCACAGUCGCUCAGUGAUCGACUUUUUGAGAAGCAUACCAGCAGUCUUCCGUAGUUUCCUCUAGCUUCUGUAGCUCCUCCCCUUCCUCCUCACUGAGCUGGGCAACAGGCUGCUCAACUGUCUGGAGCUGCGCUACAAGGUGGUCUGGCCUCUCAACAUCAUCAUCACAGACAGCUGCAUAAACCAGUACAACCGCCUCUUCUCCUUCCAGCUGCAGCUCAAACACAUGGUCUGGAGCCUCAGAGACGUCUGGUUCCACCUCAAGAGAACUGAAAGCGGUUGAUGAACAUCAUCCACAGCAUCUUCAGCUUCAUCCAGUCCAGCCAGCAGGGAGUCAUACAACACCUUCAAGUAUUACUCGCAUUUCCUUUUCGAAGGUGAGCAGGGGAAACUUUGGAAAUGACUCGGGUGGCGGGGCUCUCCCUUAGCGAUAGUGUGAGAAGCUCUGUCAUUUGGGAGGAGCUCAAAGUAAAGCCGCUGCUCCUCCAUAUCGAGAGGAGCCAGAUGAAGUGGUUCUGGCAUCUGGUCAGGAUGCCCGUGUUUAGGCAUCCAUGGGGAGGUGUUUAGGGCACGUCAGACAGGUAGGAAGCCACGGGGAAGACUCAGGACUAUAUGUUUCCCGGCUGGCUUGGGAACGCCUCGGGAUGAGCUGGACGAAGUGGCUGGGAGAGGGAAGUCUGGGCUUCCCUGCUUAGGCUGCUGCCCCCGCGAACCGACCUCGGAUAAGCGGAAGAAGAUGAAUGGUAAUGUAUAGUAUUUGUACAUAAUUAAUGGGACAAUUAAAUAUCAAUGAUCCUGCAUGCUUUUAUUUUGUGCAUCACAUGACUGUAAUUACAACGGAACAUACUGAGCUUGUUGUUGUUUGUACAUUUGCGCACAAACAAAAAAUUUAACACGCAAAAAGAAGCAAUUCUUAUUUUCACCGCUUCAUGCGAAAAAGCCAGACUGCGUCCUGUAGUCACGCGAGGGGCUUUUGACCAAUCAUCUAGGAGAUUGUCUGGCCAUACUCUUUCUGAUCGCUCAAAAGCCCCUCAAGUGAUUACGGGGCGACCUUGUUUGGGACCAACUCUGAAACCGAGGUGUCCAUACUCUAUACACGCCUCUGGAAAAAGCCCAUAUGCACGGUAUGAUACGAAAAACUUUUGAAGAAUAGGUGCCUCUGACUAGCCCAGAUAUAAACAUAAUUGGUGUAAUUUACAACAACUUGUGUUCAUACUGUAGCCUUCUCACAGCGAGAUUUGAGUUUCAUGUGAAAAUUAUGUAAUUUUGUUUAAUGCAACUCACUUGGCAACUCAAUGUAUUAUUACAAUACAGACGAGGACUGAUCACAUGCAUUGGACAAAAAGUUAACUUUGUGUCCUUGCCUCAAUAUUUUUUUACAUUGUUGAAAUCAAACGUUGGGGGAAAAAAGGCUGAUUUCGCCGAACCCAAAUGUGUGGGAAAUGUUUGGAAAUGUCUCUAAUGGGCACUACAUUCAAUCUGAAGAGUAAAAGUUGGCACUUUGUUAUGUGAACUGUUACCCAGCAUCACUUAUGUGUGUUACUAAAGUAUCCACAGCCUGCAGAAAUGUGCAGACAACAGCUAUGGAGUCCGUGGGGCACCGCACCGUUGAUCAAAAUCUGUUUUGAUGCAACUCAACUUUGCCGGGAAAAAGAGCGCAAGGCUGGUUCUUGUGCGUACUCAAGUUUGAUACAUGAGGGCCUAUAGCACGGGGGUCAGCAACCAGCGGCGCUCGAGCCGCAAGCGGCUCUUUAGUGCCACCCUAGUGGCUCCAUGCAGCAUUUUUAAAAAAGGAUUGAAAUUGGAAAAAGAUGGGGGAAUUUCUUUUUUUUGUUUUAGAUAUUUUUUGUUUGAGGACAAAAAUUUCACAAACCUUCCCAAUUGUUAGAAAGCCCACUGUUUAAUAUGUUUGUGUGUAUGCAUUACUGAUGAGAGUAUUUGGUGAACAUCGUUUUGUUCUACUAAUUUCGGCGGUUCUUGAACUCACCAUAGUGUGGACUGUGACGCAACAGUUUGUUUACGUAUAAAAUCUUCCACUCCUUUGUCUCAUUUGGUCCAUCAAACGUUUUAUGCUGUGCGUGAAUGCACAAAGGUGGAGCGCUUUGUUGAUGUUAUUGACUUGGAGUGCUAAUCAGGCAUAUUUGAUCAGUGCAUGACUGCAAGCUAAUCAAUGCUAACAUGCUAUUUAGGCUAGCUGUAUGUACAUAUUGCAUCAUUAUGCCUCAUUUGUAGGUAUAUUUGAGCUCAUUUAAUAUCCUUUACUUGUAUCCUCUUUGUAUAUAAUUUAGUUUUGAAUGUCUCAUGACACAUUAUCUGUAUGUAAUAUUGGCUGCAUUUUAGAUAGUUGUUAGUGUGCCAUGUUGUUC